This is a long non-coding RNA of Manis pentadactyla (Chinese pangolin), 1212 nucleotides long. RefSeq lists it as uncharacterized. NCBI's taxonomy places the organism in Eukaryota, Metazoa, Chordata, Mammalia, Pholidota, Manidae. The record is from RefSeq and is a predicted model, not a curated record. The transcript is spliced from 4 exons.
UUUGAUUCUUUUGAAAAGACUAUAGGUGGCAGUAUGUUCUUUCAUAAGAAGCCACCUAUUGUGAUGUUAUAGCCAUUGAUGUGUUAUGUCUCAAUCAUUAAUUGGGGGUAGGAAAAUGGUGAUAUUCCAAUUCUGUCAAUUCUUUUUAAUGAUUUUUAUGGAAUGUUUUUAUGAAACCAUCUUCUGUUUGAUGACUCAGUAGUACAAUUCAUCUAUGAAAAAUAUGGAACAUGUGUCAGUUCACCAUAACUGUUAACCUUAUUGAAGCUCAAGUUGUACCAUCUUUGGUCAGUGGGAGCCUUUUCAAGAGGGCGCGGAGCCGGGGCUAGCCUGCCACCGUCGCCGCCGUCGCGGGCUGAUGACCCAGAGCGCUGCGUGCUUCCCCACACGUGCCUGGCCUCUCUCGGUGUGUGCUGUUCCCCAGCAGCCGCUUUCCGUUUUGGCUUGGUUGGUGGCAUCUCCGGCUCGGGGACAUCGGCGGCUCGGGGGCUCCGAGCGCAAAGCAGGAAGCCCUGGUGGCCGCCCGGAGCGGGGAGCCCGCGGUCAUGGAACAUCUCUUCUUAGAGGUGGUCGCGCCACUGCCGUCAAUCGCUGCCAAGAACGAGAAGAGCCUCAGUGAGCUAGGCCGACUCUUGGCCAGGCAGGCUUAAAAGUAAUGCUUUGGAUAAAGGCGGAAGAUGGCGGCGUGAGUAGAGCAGCAGAAUUCUCCUCCCAAAACCACAUAUAUCUAUGAAAAUAUAACAAAGACAACCCUUCCUAGAAUAAAGAUCAGAGGACACAGGACAAUAUCCAGACAUCCAGACCACAUCCGCACCUGAGAGAACCCAGCGCCUCGUGAAAGGGGUAAGAUACAAGCCCCGGUCCGGCGGGAGCCGACCGCACAUCCCCCCAAAUCCCGGAGGGAAAAGAAUAGGUAGAGCGGGAGGGAGACGGAGCCCAGGAUUGCCGAACACCCACCCCCAGCCAUCCAGGCCAGAGUGCGGACACAGUACGUGCCCAGGGGGCAGUGGAUACUAGGAAAACAGGGCAGCAAGAACAGUGAGUCGGCACCGUAGGCCGGGCGCUGGAGGACAUAAGAAAAGCACGCGACCAUUUUUUUUUUUUUUUUUUUUUUUUGCUGUUUUGUUUUGGCGAGAGCUUUUUGGAAAUCCUAAAGGAAUAGGGACCCCAAUACUAGGGAAACAGGGCAGCAAGACCAGUGAGCAGAUGCCU